Molecule: long non-coding RNA, 1683 nt
Organism: Labeo rohita (rohu)
Lineage: Eukaryota; Metazoa; Chordata; Actinopteri; Cypriniformes; Cyprinidae
Exons: 7
Source: RefSeq, a predicted model, not a curated record
UGCAGGCCCAUCUCGUUUCCCCCGCAUUUCAAUUUCAGGAAGAAAGAAUGCAAUGAUGGACACAGAAUCGGACAGGUUGACAGUGCGGAUGCAGAAUGGUGUCAUCGGGCACUCGCCCCGUGCAUUCGGAAGGUUAUCUGACACUCUGCAGACAAGAUGUACUCUGUUUUGGGCUGGAGUCGGGUCUGGCUGCCUGUCUCGGAGAAAGCAACUUGAAGAUUUGUACUUGAGCGUAAAAUCUAUUAAAAUAGAAGGAUUUCAAUAAGACCUGUUACGACCUGCUGCCGCCGCCGUGGAUAGAUAGCGUCUCAUUCAAAUGUAUUGCUGGCUCGCUAUCUCAUCAAGCUCGGACCGCUUGCUGAAGUUACUGUUAUCAAGUUGCUGUAAUACAAAAGUUUGGAUUUAAGAUUGCUAGGAGGCCUUUAUCAAUGCCCUGGAGUGUGAGGCACCUUUUAUUAUGGAUGGAUGCACUUUAUUUGGACUGAUGAAGAGAGACACCCGUCUUUACCGUUCUAAAGCUUGGGAGUGCCAGGAUAAUUUUUAAUAUAACUCCGAUUGCAUUCGUCUGAAAGAAGGAAGUCAUAUACACCUAGGAUGCAUAGAGGGUCUCUGUGCCAAAUUGGAUUCCACCUACGCAGACCCACCACCUGUUCGGCCCAGCCAUGAUGUUGUCCUCCAACACCUGCUGACCCCUCCGAGCACUCAGGUUGUUAAAAGAAAAUGCAGAUUGUGUGAUGAUGGGAAAUCCUGAUUUAGCACAAGGAACCAAAAAGCAUCUUAUGUUCAAGUAGGAGGAGGAGGAGAAGGAGACAUGGCCUGCCUUGCUUCCUCAGCGAAAACGCCUGGUUGUAAUGCAGCUGUUUGGACUCUCAUUCGGCACCCAUUCAUUGCAGAGGAUCCUUUGGUGAGCAAGUGAUACAAUGCUGAAUUCUGAUGAACAAAACAAUCUCAUCUGCAUCAUGAUGACCUGAGGGCUAUGGAGGGGGUUCCCUGGUGUUCCUGGAUGUGCUUCAUGUUGAGGAUGGGAUUACACUCAAGUCUGAUGAACGGGCCCACUGGGACCAGGAACUUGAGACAUCUGGCGGCGGGGGUGGGGUGGUCGUGUGGAGUAGUCCCCCCCCACUAUCAGGCGCCCUGACAGCCCACUGACAGAUAACAGCUGCUGGGAAAGCCUCCCACCGCUUCAAGCUACUGUUCCGUGAGUCUGCAGCUUGUGUCAUUUCUUCAGCACCCAACUUCUUUUUCUGAACGGUUUGGAAUCCUGCAGCAAGCAUAGUCUUGGUACAAAAGGUCAUUUUCUCAUUUCUAUAGCAUUGCAGUCAUUAUGCUGACGACAUAUGGGUCACUAACAACGAGGCCACAUACUGUUUUAAAAUGCAUUUUAAUUAUUUAUUGUGCAUUCAUUUUAUCACAGUCUGGGGGAAGGUGAUUUAGAGGUAGGUUAAUGAUUUUACAUUCUAUUACCUUCUAUUUGUUACCUUAAAUUCAAUUUGCUUCCAAGAGUGCUAAUACGCAGAGUGUCAGCACUGUAACGCUUUACCAUUUGUAACACUCCGCUUGUUUGUUUACAGCUUUCCAGAUCAGAGUAUUUGGGAGUGGAUGCACUGCCAGGAAUGUGACUUUGCCUUAAGUGAGUGAAGAGGUUUUUCGAAGUCGGAGUGUCUGUGUUUUUUUUUUUUUUUU